Molecule: ribosomal RNA, 2193 nt
Filed under: uncultured Intestinibacter sp.
Lineage: Bacteria; Bacillati; Bacillota; Clostridia; Peptostreptococcales; Peptostreptococcaceae
Description: partial contains 16S ribosomal RNA, 16S-23S ribosomal RNA intergenic spacer, and 23S ribosomal RNA
Rfam family: Bacterial small subunit ribosomal RNA (bases 1-1478)
Source: RNAcentral
GAUGAACGCUGGCGGCGUGCCUAACACAUGCAAGUCGAGCGAUUUACUUCGGUAAAGAGCGGCGGACGGGUGAGUAACGCGUGGGUAACCUGCCCUGUACACACGGAUAACAUACCGAAAGGUAUGCUAAUACGAGAUAAAAUACUUUUAUCGCAUGGUAGAAGUAUCAAAGCUUUUGCGGUACAGGAUGGACCCGCGUCUGAUUAGCUAGUUGGUAAGGUAACGGCUUACCAAGGCGACGAUCAGUAGCCGACCUGAGAGGGUGAUCGGCCACAUUGGAACUGAGACACGGUCCAAACUCCUACGGGAGGCAGCAGUGGGGAAUAUUGCACAAUGGGCGAAAGCCUGAUGCAGCAACGCCGCGUGAGCGAUGAAGGCCUUCGGGUCGUAAAGCUCUGUCCUCAAGGAAGAUAAUGACGGUACUUGAGGAGGAAGCCCCGGCUAACUACGUGCCAGCAGCCGCGGUAAUACGUAGGGGGCUAGCGUUAUCCGGAAUUACUGGGCGUAAAGGGUGCGUAGGUGGUUUCUUAAGUCAGAGGUGAAAGGCUACGGCUCAACCGUAGUAAGCCUUUGAAACUGGGAAACUUGAGUGCAGGAGAGGAGAGUGGAAUUCCUAGUGUAGCGGUGAAAUGCGUAGAUAUUAGGAGGAACACCAGUUGCGAAGGCGGCUCUCUGGACUGUAACUGACACUGAGGCACGAAAGCGUGGGGAGCAAACAGGAUUAGAUACCCUGGUAGUCCACGCCGUAAACGAUGAGUACUAGCUGUCGGAGGUUACCCCCUUCGGUGGCGCAGCUAACGCAUUAAGUACUCCGCCUGGGAAGUACGCUCGCAAGAGUGAAACUCAAAGGAAUUGACGGGGACCCGCACAAGUAGCGGAGCAUGUGGUUUAAUUCGAAGCAACGCGAAGAACCUUACCUAAGCUUGACAUCCUUUUGACCGAUGCCUAAUCGCAUCUUUCCCUUCGGGGACAGAAGUGACAGGUGGUGCAUGGUUGUCGUCAGCUCGUGUCGUGAGAUGUUGGGUUAAGUCCCGCAACGAGCGCAACCCUUGCCUUUAGUUGCCAGCAUUAAGUUGGGCACUCUAGAGGGACUGCCAGGGAUAACCUGGAGGAAGGUGGGGAUGACGUCAAAUCAUCAUGCCCCUUAUGCUUAGGGCUACACACGUGCUACAAUGGGUGGUACAGAGGGCAGCCAAGUCGUGAGGCGGAGCUAAUCCCUUAAAGCCAUUCUCAGUUCGGAUUGUAGGCUGAAACUCGCCUACAUGAAGCUGGAGUUACUAGUAAUCGCAGAUCAGAAUGCUGCGGUGAAUGCGUUCCCGGGUCUUGUACACACCGCCCGUCACACCACGGAAGUUGGGGGCGCCCGAAGCCACUUAGCUAACCCUUUUGGGAAGCGAGUGUCGAAGGUGAAAUCAAUAACUGGGGUGAAGUCGUAACAAGGUAGCCGUAUCGGAAGGUGCGGCUGGAUCACCUCCUUUCUAAGGGGAAUUACCUACUGUUUAAUUUUGAGGGUUUAUUAAAAACUUUCAUAAAGAGGGCGAAGCCCAAAAUAAGUACUUUGAGCACCUAGGCACGAACGAAUGUGAGUGGAAGGUAGCGAAGUGCGUUAGCACUUUGAAAACUGCAUAACAUUUAGUGAUAUGACAUCAUUUUAAACAUAUAUAGACAAGAAAAGUCUUUAAAAUUACAACUCUAAUAACUGGUCAAGUUAUUAAGGGUGCAGGGCGGAUGCCUUGGCACUAGGAGCCGAUGAAGGACGUGAUAAGCUGCGAUAAGCUUUGGGGAGUUGCACGUAAACUUUGAUCCGAAGAUUUCCGAAUGAGGAAACUCACUUAGAGUAAUGUCUAAGUAUCGUUAAGUGAAUACAUAGCUUAGCGAGGGGAACCCGGGGAACUGAAACAUCUAAGUACCCGGAGGAAGAGAAAGAAAUUCGAUUCCGUAAGUAGCGGCGAGCGAACGCGGAACAGGCCAAACCAAUGAAGUUUACUUCGUUGGGGUUGCGGACAUACAACAUGGAUGCAAUAUCGUAAAUGAAGAGAGUUGGAAAGCUCCGCCAUAGAAGGUAAUAGCCCUGUAGUUGAAACGAGAAAGCUACUAGUAUGAUCCAGAGUACCACGGGACACGUGAAACCCUGUGGGAAGCAGGAGGGACCAUCCUCCAAGCCUAAAUACUACCUAGUGACCGAUAGCGCAU